RNAcentral lists this long non-coding RNA (1389 nucleotides) under Ananas comosus (pineapple). Its description in RNAcentral is "long non-coding RNA (ACOM_LNC037856)". The record is from RNAcentral. Lineage: Eukaryota; Viridiplantae; Streptophyta; Magnoliopsida; Poales; Bromeliaceae.
AUAUUGGGUAAAUAUAUAAAGAGAUUAAGAUUAUUAUGAUUUAGCUGUAUAUCAAAUAGAUAGAAGUAAGAAUCUUGUUUUUUUCGAGAGAGAGAUAGAUAGCACGCUACCCGCUUCGUUUAUUUCAUUUAGAAAUAAAUUUAGCUGGAAAUGUGAAUCAACUGGGAUUCAAACUUGGGUCUCAGGUACCAACCACUAAGCCCUUCGCCACUUGCUCUAGGGAUGGUCGGUUCGCCUUUAACAAUUGUUAAAGAGCUUCUUCUGCUAAAUCAACAGAUGAAGCUGAUCAUUGAUACAAAAAACAUCCUGUAUGUUAUAUGUAGGUCAAAAUUCUUAUUUCCAUACAGCUUGGAAAUAAUAUUCUUAACAAAGAUUAGUACUGAGUUUUACUUAAAAUGCUACCAUGUUUUUGCGAAAAAACAUUUUUUUGAUGAAAAUAAAAAUUGAAAAGAAAAUACAGCAUAUACUCGGAUAUAAGUAAGAACUAGUUGUUUCAGGAAUAGAUAUAAGAUGAGGUAUAAGGCGAGAGUAUAAAGUAAUUUUGUGUUUGGUUGAGUAUUGGGUUUAUUCCAAAUAUAAACAAAAUAGUAUUUAGUUGGAUUAAAUGGAAUAAGAAGGAUAGCGGGUGGUAUAAAUAGAAAAUAAUAAUAUUGCGCUAGCUCUUUAUUAUAUUUUAAUUAAAAUUUUUAGAUUUUAUAUUUAAAACUUUAAAUUUAAAUAUAUAACUCUAAAAUUUUAAAAAUACAAACUUAAAAUUUAAAUUUUAAAAUCUCAAAUUCGAAAAUUCAAAGUUCUAAAUUUUUAAUUUCAAAUUUUAAAAAUUUAAGAUCAAAUCUAAAUUUAUAAAUAUAAAAUUUCAAAUUUAAAAAAUUAAAUAUAUCAAUUUAAAAUUGAAAUUUUAAAUUUUAAAUUUUAAAUUUUAGGGAAAACUUCAAAAACCCCCUCUGUGGUUUUCAACUUUCUCACUUUAGUACCCUGUGGUUUAAAGUGUAUCAAUUUGCCCCCCCUGUGGUUUUGUUUUUAUUUUUUCUAUAGCUUUUUUCUUAAUAUUUCGUUAAAUUAUAUACAAAAAAAACAUCAGAUAUCCAUCUAGAUUUACCGAAUAUUUACUUUAGUACCCUUUAAUUUUAAUUUUGUUACUGAUUUGAGAAAAAAAAUAAUAAAAUUGAUAAAAAAAAGAGAAAAACGAAACCACCGGGGGAUAAAUUAAUACACUUUAAACCACAGGGUACUAAAGUGAGAAAGUUGGAAACCACAGGGGUUUUCGAAGUUAUCCCUAAAUUUUAAUUUUAAUAUUACAAAUUAUAAAUGUUUAAAAUUUAUACUUUAAAUUUUAAAAUUUAAAUUUAAAUUUAUAAAUUAAAUAGGGAUGGAAAUAGCUAUUCUCAU